AGUAUCAACGGCAUCACGAGAGCUAUACUGUCUCCCCCACCCCAUCAGUGAAACUGAUCCCCUCGUGAAGAAGCGAGGAUAUUACCAUAAGACGAGAAGACCCCAUGGAGCUUUAAACUUGCACCACUGCCUCCUCAUACACCAAAAUAACCCAGGCAACAUGGCAGCUAGUCUUUCGGCUGGGGCGACCACGGAGAAAAACAGAACCUCCAUGAUGAAUGGGGCCACCCCUAAUCAAAGAGCCACUGCUCUAAGAAUCAAUAAAUUGACGUAUUGACCCAAAAAUUUGAUCAACGAACCAAGUUACCCUGGGGAUAACAGC
RNAcentral lists this ribosomal RNA (322 nucleotides) under Anodonthyla emilei. RNAcentral's name for it is "partial 16S ribosomal RNA". It matches the Rfam family "Bacterial large subunit ribosomal RNA", at positions 1989 to 2481 of the family's 2925-position model. Lineage: Eukaryota; Metazoa; Chordata; Amphibia; Anura; Microhylidae. The record is from RNAcentral.